RNAcentral lists this unclassified non-coding RNA (377 nucleotides) under uncultured Chlamydiales bacterium. RNAcentral describes it as "contains 16S-23S intergenic spacer region". The record is from RNAcentral. Lineage: Bacteria; Pseudomonadati; Chlamydiota; Chlamydiia; Chlamydiales.
UCCUGGUUAACCCAGGCAGUCUCACUAGAGUUCCCACCUUAAAUGCUGGCAACUAGUGACAAGGGUUGCGCUCGUUGCGGGACUUAACCCAACACCUCACGGCACGAGCUGACGACAGCCAUGCAGCACCUGUGCAGCAGCCCCGAAGGGAAACGCCAUUUCUGGCGCGGUCUACUGCAUGUCAAGCCCAGGUAAGGUUCUUCGCGUUGCAUCGAAUUAAACCACAUGCUCCACUGCUUGUGCGGGUCCCCGUCAAUUCUUUUGAGUUUCACCCUUGCGAGCGUACUCCCCAGGCGGUAUACUUAACGCGUUAGCUACGGCACAGCCGGGGUUGAGACCAGCUACACCAAGUAUACAUCGUUUACGGCUAGGACUAC